CCUACGGGAGGCAGCAGUGAGGAAUAUUGGUCAAUGGACGAGAGUCUGAACCAGCCAAGUAGCGUGAAGGAUGACUGCCCUAUGGGUUGUAAACUUCUUUUAUAUGGGAAUAAAAUGUUCCACGUGUGGGAUUUUGUAUGUACCAUAUGAAUAAGGAUCGGCUAACUCCGCGCCAGCAGCCGCGGUAAUACGGAGGAUCCGAGCGUUAUCCGGAUUUAUUGGGUUUAGAGGGAGCGUAGGUGGAUUGGUAAGUCAGUUGUGAAAGUUUGCGGCUCAACCGUAAAAUUGCAGUUGAAACUGGCAGUCUAGAGUACAGGAGAGGUGAGCGGAAUUCGUGGUGUAGCGGUGAAAUGCUUAGAUAUCACGAAGAACUCCGGUUGCGAAGGCAGCUCACUGGACUGCAACUGACACUGAGGCUCGAAAGUGUGGGUAUCAAACAGGAUUAGAUACCCGGGUAGUC
This 460-nucleotide ribosomal RNA is filed under the name uncultured bacterium. RNAcentral describes it as "partial 16S ribosomal RNA". It matches the Rfam family "Bacterial small subunit ribosomal RNA", at positions 338 to 795 of the family's 1533-position model. The record is from RNAcentral.